UUGUUUCUUCCUUAACCGAACCCACAAGAAGCUUCCAACCAUGAAUACACCUCCUGAUCAGCCAAGGUAAUGAUGAAGCAUACAUAGGUGUUGCAUGGAGCAGAGACCAGCGAAGCCUUCACCACCUCUUCUUCUGAUUAUAUAAGCACCACUCUUCCUUCCUUGAAUUCACAGAAAGCAGAGAGAGGGCAAGGAACGAGGAACAGUCAAAGCACCAGUAAGCAAGAACAGGAGCGUUUUUCAAGUUUUCUGGCUCUUCAUCAACCACAGCACCAAGAAAAGAAGAAUGAUAGCCAAGGAAGGAGCUGAUCGAAGCUGAAAAGGGAGCUGCAUUCCACUCACCCAACUGUUCUUCGAGCUUCUCUGCUAGGUGACGAUAGCAACUUCAUCUUCUUCCUUUCCUCCUCUAAUUCAAAAUUUUGAUCCUUCCCUUGCUUCAUUCUCCUAGUUUACUCAAUUUCUGUUAACAUAACUAGCAUCACAAGCAAAGAGAAGUGAGUGAUUUUCCCUCCUCUGUGUUUAAUUUGGCCGAAUGGCCUGGUGAAAUGUAACCAAAACUCCUUGGAAUGGUUAGGGUUCGGGUUCAAGGGAGAAUCAGGGACAAGUUUUGUGCUUUUGAUCAACAAAGAGAUAGAGAUAAACUUGGCAGCUGAUGACUUGAGUUUAGAGAUGUCUGGAGGAGUUAGUGAAGAAUCUUCGUAGGAUCACUUUUGAGUAAAUGACAGGCACUCUCUAUCUGGAUCUGUACGACCUUGAUCCUUAGUGAUACAUUUCCCUCUCUUUUGAUAUUGUUUUGAGAAGUGUUAAUUCAUUAUAAAUCAACUUGCAUCACUAGAAUUUUUAUGAAGAGUUUUUGAAGUAAAAA
Long non-coding RNA from Arachis duranensis, 865 nucleotides. RefSeq lists it as uncharacterized. The record is from RefSeq and is a predicted model, not a curated record. Lineage: Eukaryota; Viridiplantae; Streptophyta; Magnoliopsida; Fabales; Fabaceae. The transcript has 2 exons.